UGGAAGAUACAAAGGAUCAGGGAUUGGUAUAUAAGAGAUCAGGGUUUACAGAUACAUGCUCAGUGGGUUUAAAGCAGAGGAAAGAUGAGAAUCAUUGCUAUCUUACUGUUUGUGUUCGUUUGUGUUAGUGUGUGUAUGUCUGCAGCUCCGGGCUGGUCGAUCUGGAAGAACGGGAUGUGGGAUAUCGAAGACGCAGAUAAUGAUAAUAUCCCAGGAGUUGGUGGAGUAGAUUAUCCGAUUAAAGGACAAAAAGAUCUUUGUGCUCUCAACCCAACCAAUCCUGGAUGUUAAGAGAAUUUCCCUUCGUUAAAAAAACAUUUAGUGAGACUGCACUGAUUGCUAUAUUCCAUAUCACGUGAUAUCCCUAGAUAAAGAUAAAUAUAAAAUAACCAGUAGCAGAGGUAUUCCCACUAAUCCUGGUUACUAGAAGAGCUAUAACCCCAACAACACCUGGCAAGGUUGAGCUAAACAAAACUGUGCAUGCUAAAAGAGCUAAUCUGACCAAACCUGGCUUUUAGCAGAGCUAUCACCACCAACCCAUGGCUGCUGAAAGAGCUAACCUCGCCAAUCCUGGCUUUCAACAAACCUAACACCACAACCCAUGGCUGCUAGCAGAGCUGACUUUAACCAAUCCUGGCUGCUAGCAGAGCUGGAAACAAACCAACUUAGGCUGUUAACAUAGCAGACUUCCAUCAAUGCUGACUUAUAGGCGAGCUGUAAAAAAACCUAGACUGUUAGCAAAGAUAAAUCCCACCACUUUGGCCACUAGCAGAACUUAAAUCACCAAUUAAAGGCUGUUAGCAAAGAUAAACCCACCAAUUCUGGCUACAGCCUACAACCAGAGCUAAACAUAGAGCUGACUUCAACCAAUUCCCCCAUUAUAGGCUGCUAGUAGAGCUACCACCAAUCCUAACUGUUUUCAGAGCUGAACCAAACCUUUUUUAAUGAUCUGACUUAUUUUAUCUGAAAUAUGUAUUUUGUCCUGCUUUUUAUUCCAAUAAAAUGCUGACAUUA
Long non-coding RNA from Eurytemora carolleeae, 1014 nucleotides. RefSeq lists it as uncharacterized. NCBI's taxonomy places the organism in Eukaryota, Metazoa, Arthropoda, Copepoda, Calanoida, Temoridae. The record is from RefSeq and is a predicted model, not a curated record. The transcript has 3 exons.